Molecule: long non-coding RNA, 1744 nt
Organism: Canis lupus familiaris (dog)
Lineage: Eukaryota; Metazoa; Chordata; Mammalia; Carnivora; Canidae
Exons: 3
Source: RefSeq, a predicted model, not a curated record
GAAGGAAAGAAGGAAGGAAGGAAGCUGCCCUGUUUCUGUUUUUACUUCAGAGCCUGCUUUGAACUUUAACUACAGCUAGGGUCCAUACCACUGAGUACUUCUGCUUCUGGUCCUCUGUCUCCUUGGGAACCACCAAAAGACACACAACAAACAAACACAACCCGGAUUUUUGAAGGCAUCAAAGAACCCAGAGGCUGCUUGAAUUUGAGGAGCAAAGAUCCUUGGAGAAUGGAGGGAGGCACAGUGAAGUGAUUUGGAUCUUCUCUAUAGCUUUUUCUUGAAGACACUUGAUGAUUCACAGAGAUUGACAUUUAGUCUCAGCAGAAAGUAGCAACCUAGGAUAUAUUUACUAGUGUCAUGGGAUGAAGAGACCAAAAUUGGAACUCAGGUGCCAAGACCCUCAAGAAAAGGGAACAACAGGAAUGUGAACAUAUAAUUCCACGAGAUUUUGUUCUUGGAAUAUUUGUUAAUCCUAAAAUUCCCAGAUGUAAGAAGCAGAAAAAUCAAGCAUAAAGAAACUAAUUGCUAAAGAGCUAGGGAGAAAAUUUUUUAGCACUCUCAUAGCACUGGAUAUUAAAAAAUUGAAAUGCAGGCCUGGUCCAGACUCAGUGACCCUGGUGUAGACCCAGGCUUUCAGCUGCAACUCCUAUAAUUUCAGCAAGUGUUAACUGGAAAGAUACUGAUGCUGUAAGAGAUGUGGCCUUACUCUAACCCAGAAGAAAUUCUGUAGAUAAAACAGUAUCAUUUGGAACCACUACAGUUUUCCAUGCACUGUGCCUAUCAAAUACUACAUAGUGUGCCAGUGUGCUGGGAAUUAAAAUCUAACCAACAAAAACCAAGAGAAGAAAUAGGCAAUAACAAGAGAUAUACAGGUAAUCCAGGUAUUGGAUUUUUCAGACACAAACUUUAAAUUAGCUAUGAUUAAUGUGAGUAAACCAGUUUAUUCAUUUGAUUAGAAAUUGUAUUUGUAAUGGAGGUAUGAUGUGCAAAUUCACAUAUGUUGAUGGCCUACAAGAUGUUCAGUGAGUCUUGUGCUAUAAAAUUUUAUCUUCACAUUAACUCUCGAAGGGAUUAUUAGUAUCAUCUUAUUUAAAAAAAUUCAGAUUCAGUAAGGAUAUGUAUAUCAUUUAUCCUUUAAAAUAUACAAAAUACAUAAAAUUUACCUUGGAAUGAAAUAUUCAAUUCAAUGUAAAAAAGGACAAUUACUAUUUCAAGGAAAUUUUUAAAGUAAGAAAUAGAGAGUGCCAAGGUCUCUAUAAUACGAAAGAGUACUGCCAAAGAAAUGAAUCAGGUAUGGAAGAACCAAUGGAACAUGACAUAUUUUUUGAGCACUUACCAAUGGGACCAUAAUUGGGCAACCAAAAUUGGUUAUCUCAUCCUACCUGUGGGAGAAUUAAAGUCUGUGUACAAAACAUUCCCUUCGUUUCUCAUCAUGUUUAUUCCAGCCCUCCCCAGGGCCACUAAGCUAAAGAGAAUGAGGUGUUACUCAGAUCUGUCUUUAUUAGCAAAGUGAACACAGUUCAGGGAGUAGCCCAAUCUGUCUUUAUUAGCUCAGUGAACACAGUUCAGGGAGUAGCACCUCAGCUGAUCAACAAAUAUAAGAAUUGUUGACUAUUUCUACUCUCUGAACAUUGGCUCUGGCCAUAUAUUGUUUUCCUUCUAGUUCCUCUUCUAUUUUGGGGGAAAAUUAUUAUUUCACACAUUAUAAAGUUACUAUAAAAGCCACCAACUUAAUUUAAUACAU